Molecule: ribosomal RNA, 433 nt
Filed under: uncultured bacterium
Lineage: Bacteria
Description: partial 16S ribosomal RNA
Rfam family: Bacterial small subunit ribosomal RNA
Source: RNAcentral
AACGAACGCUGGCGGCAUGCCUAACACAUGCAAGUCGAACGAGACCUUCGGGUCUAGUGGCGCACGGGUGCGUAACGCGUGGGAAUCUGCCCUUGGGUUGGGAAUAACAGUUGGAAACGACUGCUAAUACCGGAUGAUGACGUAAGUCCAAAGAUUUAUCGCCCAAGGAUGAGCCCGCGUAGGAUUAGCUAGUUGGUGAGGUAAAGGCUCACCAAGGCGACGAUCCUUAGCUGGUCUGAGAGGAUGAUCAGCCACACUGGGACUGAGACACGGCCCAGACUCCUACGGGAGGCAGCAGUGGGGAAUAUUGGACAAUGGGCGAAAGCCUGAUCCAGCAAUGCCGCGUGAGUGAUGAAGGCCUUAGGGUUGUAAAGCUCUUUUACCCGGGAUGAUAAUGACAGUACCGGGAGAAUAAGCUCCGGCUAACUCCGUG